Melopsittacus undulatus (budgerigar) is the source of this 2795-nucleotide long non-coding RNA. RefSeq lists it as uncharacterized. Lineage: Eukaryota; Metazoa; Chordata; Aves; Psittaciformes; Psittaculidae. The record is from RefSeq and is a predicted model, not a curated record. The transcript has 4 exons.
CAGCUCGGGGAAGGACAUCGUGUGCUGGAGCAGAGCCUCAGAGGCACAGAGGGAGCAAUCACACUGAAACAGAGGGCUCUUCCCCCUCCUUUCUGUAACGAGUGAGGGGGAGGAAGACUCGCUUCAGAAAUGAACCUUUUUCUCCCAACCUCAUGGUCCAGGAUUUCUCAUGGAAGGAAGGAAGGGCUGACACCACUGGCCUGCAGCAGCAGGGGAAAUGGCAAGAGGCAGAGAAAGCAGCUCCAUGAGGCUGGAGGGGGAUUGGUACCCACUGUCCCAGAUGAGCAGAGCUCGGAUCUGUUCUUUUCACACCUUCCUGCCUGAGGUUAUGCCUAUGGAGGACACCUGGGAGAAGCCAUCAUCAGCCCUGUGCCCGCAUCCUGCUUCAGGAGCAGCCGGAGGAGCCCUCCUGGUAUGGAUGUGCUUGGACCAGGCUUUCCCACCAGCCCCAGCAGGGUCCUACCUUCAUAAACCUCGAUGGUGUAUGGGUGGGCUGUUGUCUGGGACCCUCUUUGUUUCUGGAGCCUAUCCUAUACCCAACACACUGUCUGUCCUUGGAGCUUGCUCAAGAGGCUGUGCACUCUCUCGGCUGCACCCAGAAGUGAUGUUGGGAGAAGAGCAGGAAUAAUCACCACAGACCCAAGGUAAAAAACACAAUAAUCAAAGACCAGUCCUAAAAACUCUGCUUUAAUCUUUGUGCUGCCGGACCCAGCCUCCCUUUCAUCUAGGACUCUGCUGUUCUCUCGUUACUCUGCACUCAGAGAGACCACAAGGCUGGAAGAGAGGAAGAAAAAAGACAAGAUUAAACUAAUGAGCAGGUACCACACAAACAAGGAGGAGCCCUGAGCAAGGCUGGUGGACGAGGUGCUGUGGGCACAGACCCGUACAGUGCAUCCCUUCCUGGAGCACCACUGGCUCCGAGCUCUGCUGGAGCAGAAAAUGGGACACAUCCCUGGGAAUCCUGGUCUUGGCCUCACUGGGAAAUUCAAGCUGAGCAGGAUGCCUGUGUCUGCCAAAGAAGGGAAGCUCUGCUGUCCCUUGCCAUACAGGAAUGACUGAAGUGAGAAUCCUGUAUCUUUGCGGAACGAGAGGAGCAUCAUCAUUCCCUGCUCUGUUGGACAGUGAUGCAUCAAACCCCCUGCAAAUGCUGAAGGUGCGGUAAUCCCCUGCCCCUACCCUGACUGCUGUGCUUGUUGUCUGGGAAGUCCAGGUUCAGGCUCUUGGCAAACACAGGUGGAAAGUGGCAUCAGCAACCUCCUUCUGCUGCUGAGGAGUGCCUACUGCAAGUGAUGGCCUGAGAGCUACUUCACUGGUCUAUUUCUGUGAUGGCUCUGAUGAAUGCUAAGGUUUUGAAGAAGGAUGGAGAGGCCUUUCCAUGACCCCACCAAACUCUGUUACCCUUCAGGGACAGGCAAGCCCCCACACUGAAGAACACUUGACUGAUGGCCAAGGCUCUACAUCAUAACCAUUGCCUCCCCGUUCACACUAAUUGUCCUCCUCCUCACCUGCAGAGUGACAAAUGACAUGGGUUUAAUGGAGAUGGGAUUCCCCUGGCACUCCUCAUAAUCCCUCUAAAACCAUGAAUGAGGAUGUAGGCAGGACAGGGCACACAGGAAGCAGCCUUCAAAAGAGACAUUCCCCCUCUACCUGUGUCAUCCCUAACAGUCAGCCCAAACUGAUGUUUCCCCCAGGUAUAUUUCCUCAGCUUAAGCCACUUUGCUUCCUGUAGUAGGAGCAAUAGAGUGAUUUCUCAUGUUCAAAGAGUGCAUUUUGGUUUGGGUCUCUUGCAGAUGAGUGCCUCUUCGCACUGCCAUGGUACAGCCAGCCCCUUGGCAGCUCCCAGGCACUGGUCUUAGCAGAGCUGGGUGAUGGGGAAGGAUGGCAGAAGUGGGAAGUAGAGCAAUGGAUUCAACACCCCCUCCAAAGCCAUCAGCUCAGUCUAUUAUCUCAUUAUGCAGACCAAACAUCCCAAAACUCCUGGUCAUUAACAAACAGGGCAGGUGAUGAGGAUGUGCCCCUAGGACCCACCUCACUGCUGGCCCUCCCUCUGGUAGGGGUGGGGAAAGGAGCCCUGAGAGGGAUUACAGCAUCCCCCUAACCUGUGGGGCUGUAAAUCACUGCCUGCUGAGUACCCAUAAUAUACAAAUUGGAGGUAAGGUUACUCCAGAGAGCCAAUUAGUGCAAAUCUAGGCCUGCUAAUGGCAGCAUGAUCAGAUCCUGCUCUUAUCUCUGGGCAGAUAAGGUGCUGGGAAGCAAUCUCUGAAUGCAAUAGCAGUUAUUAUUACAGCUUCACCUCUGGUCUGCAAAGCCUCUGGGAAGCUCAGUGUCAGGCAGCACGCUGCAGCUCGGGGAGCAGGAAGGAGCUGCAUGUGAAGCAUGGGUGUUGCCAGCUCCAGCCUCUGGUGAGGUGUGGAUGCUCUGGCUGCUGUCUCUGGUUUACACUUCCCUCUACCAGGGUAUAAGGAGUGGGGGAUCCCAAGCAGAUGUGAUUGUUGAGCAGAGCAUCCUUGGGAUGCACUGUGUGUGUGGGAUGUGCAGUGAGGCUGAAGUUGGACCCAGGGCCCUUGGGAGCUGGUGCUGGGUGUUCUGCAUGUGCCAAGUGUGUGCUUUGAACCAACUGGUGCCAGUAAUUGUUGUGAAAUUAGAAGCUGUAUAACACGGGGAACAGAGCAGUAAAGGAUCCUAAGUCUCCCUGAUGGUUCUGGUUGUUAAUGUCUGCCUGUAGCUUAAUUACACCAUCAAUUCCAUUAAAUAGUGCAGGAACUAACUGGGAUUUAAUGAAUACAUGGAAAGGA